AUUGAACGCUGGCGGCAGGCUUAACACAUGCAAGUCGAGCGGGGUGAUGGUGCUUGCACUAUCACUUAGCGGCGGACGGGUGAGUAAUGCUUAGGAAUCUGCCUAUUAGUGGGGGACAACAUCUCGAAAGGGAUGCUAAUACCGCAUACGUCCUACGGGGGAAAGCAGGGGAUCACUUGUGACCUGGCGCUAGUAGAUGAGCCUAAGUCGGAUUAGCUAGUUGGUGGGGUAAAGGCCUACCGAGGCGACGGUCUGUAGCGGGUCUGAGAGGAUGAUCCGCCACACUGGGACUGAGACACGGCCCAGACUCCUACGGGAGGCAGCAGUGGGGAAUUUUGGACAAUGGGCGAAAGCCUGAUCCAGCCAUGCCGCGUGCAGGAUGAAGGCCUUCGGGUUGUAAACUGCUUUUGGACGGAACGAAAAGGUUUGGGCUAAUAAGCUGAGCUCAUGACGGUACCGUAAGAAUAAGCACCGGCUAACUACGUGCCAGCAGCCGCCGUAA
RNAcentral lists this ribosomal RNA (502 nucleotides) under uncultured bacterium. Its description in RNAcentral is "partial 16S ribosomal RNA". It matches the Rfam family "Bacterial small subunit ribosomal RNA", at positions 30 to 523 of the family's 1533-position model. The record is from RNAcentral.